This 485-nucleotide ribosomal RNA is filed under the name uncultured bacterium. Its description in RNAcentral is "bacterial SSU rRNA". It matches the Rfam family "Bacterial small subunit ribosomal RNA", at positions 28 to 507 of the family's 1533-position model. The record is from RNAcentral.
GAUGAACGCUAGCGGCAGGCUUAAUACAUGUAAGUCGAGGGGCAGCGCGGGUAGCAAUACCUGGCGGCGACCGGCAAACGGGUGCGGAACACGUACGCAACCUUCCCAAAACUGGUGAAUAGCCCUCCGAAAGGAGGAUUAAUACACCGUACCAUAAUGAAGAGGCAUCUCUUUGUUAUUAUAGCCGCAAGGCGGUUUUGGAUGGGCGUGCGCCUGAUUAGGUAGUUGGCGGGUAACGGCCCACCAAGCCUGCGAUCAGUAACUGGUGUGAGAGCACGACCAGUCACACGGGCACUGAGACACGGGCCCGACUCCUACGGGAGGCAGCAGUAAGGAAUAUUGGUCAAUGGACGCAAGUCUGAACCAGCCAUGCCGCGUGAAGGAUGACGGCCCUCUGGGUUGUAAACUUCUUUUAUCUGGGACGAAAAAAGGGCUUUCUAGCUCACUUGACGGUACCAGAGGAAUAAGCACCGGCUAACUCCGUG